Molecule: ribosomal RNA, 780 nt
Filed under: Parahaliea mediterranea
Lineage: Bacteria; Pseudomonadati; Pseudomonadota; Gammaproteobacteria; Cellvibrionales; Halieaceae
Description: bacterial SSU rRNA
Rfam family: Bacterial small subunit ribosomal RNA
Source: RNAcentral
CGAGCGAGAAGGCCUUCGGGCUGAGUACAGCGGCGGACGGGUGAGUAACGCGUAGGAAUCUACCUGGUAGUGGGGGACAACAUGGGGAAACUCAUGCUAAUACCGCAUACGCCCUAUGGGGGAAAGCGGGGGACCUUCGGGCCUCGCGCUAUCAGAUGAGCCUGCGUAGGAUUAGCUUGUUGGUGAGGUAAAGGCUCACCAAGGCGACGAUCCUUAGCUGGUCUGAGAGGAUGAUCAGCCACACUGGAACUGAGACACGGUCCAGACUCCUACGGGAGGCAGCAGUGGGGAAUAUUGCGCAAUGGGCGAAAGCCUGACGCAGCCAUGCCGCGUGUGUGAAGAAGGCCUUAGGGUUGUAAAGCACUUUCAAUUGGGAAGAAAGGUUGCGUGUUAAUAGCACGUAGCUGUGACGUUACCUUUAGAAGAAGCACCGGCUAACUCCGUGCCAGCAGCCGCGGUAAUACGGAGGGUGCGAGCGUUAAUCGGAAUUACUGGGCGUAAAGCGCGCGUAGGCGGUUUGUUAAGUCGGAUGUGAAAGCCCCGGGCUCAACCUGGGAAUUGCCUUCGAUACUGGCCGACUAGAGUACGAGAGAGGGAGGUAGAAUUCCACGUGUAGCGGUGAAAUGCGUAGAUAUGUGGAGGAAUACCGGUGGCGAAGGCGGCCUCCUGGCUCGAUACUGACGCUGAGGUGCGAAAGCGUGGGUAGCAAACAGGAUUAGAUACCCUGGUAGUCCACGCCGUAAAACGAUGUCUACUAGCCGUUGGGAGACUUGAUUUCUU